AUUGAACGCUGGCGGCAGGCCUAACACAUGCAAGUCGAACGGUAACAGGAAGCAGCUUGCUGCUUCGCUGACGAGUGGCGGACGGGUGAGUAAUGUCUGGGAAACUGCCUGAUGGAGGGGGAUAACUACUGGAAACGGUAGCUAAUACCGCAUAACGUCGCAAGACCAAAGAGGGGGACCUUAGGGCCUCUUGCCAUCAGAUGUGCCCAGAUGGGAUUAGCUAGUAGGUGGGGUAACGGCUCACCUAGGCGACGAUCCCCAGCUGGUCUGAGAGGAUGACCAGCCACACUGGAACUGAGACACGGUCCAGACUCCUACGGGAGGCAGCAGUGGGGAAUAUUGCACAAUGGGCGCAAGCCUGAUGCAGCCAUGCCGCGUGUAUGAAGAAGGCCUUCGGGUUGUAAAGUACUUUCAGCGGGGAGGAAGGGAGUAAAGUUAAUACCUUUGCUCAUUGACGUUACCCGCAGAAGAAGCACCGGCUAACUCCGUG
Molecule: ribosomal RNA, 490 nt
Filed under: uncultured bacterium
Lineage: Bacteria
Description: partial 16S ribosomal RNA
Rfam family: Bacterial small subunit ribosomal RNA
Source: RNAcentral